RNAcentral lists this transfer RNA (61 nucleotides) under Cordylochernes scorpioides. RNAcentral's name for it is "tRNA-Gly". The record is from RNAcentral. Lineage: Eukaryota; Metazoa; Arthropoda; Arachnida; Pseudoscorpiones; Chernetidae.
UGGCCGGGAAUCGAACUCGGACCGCCCGCGUGGCAGGCGAGCAUUCUACCACUGAACCACC